This 84-nucleotide small nucleolar RNA is filed under the name Rhinolophus ferrumequinum (greater horseshoe bat). Its description in RNAcentral is "Small nucleolar RNA SNORD86 (ENSRFEG00010016001.1)". It matches the Rfam family "Small nucleolar RNA SNORD86". From Rfam's summary of the family: U86 belongs to the C/D family of snoRNAs. Lineage: Eukaryota; Metazoa; Chordata; Mammalia; Chiroptera; Rhinolophidae. The record is from Rfam by way of RNAcentral.
UAUGACAGUGAUGGCUGACCAGGCUUCCUGACCUAUACAGGCCUCUGCUAUGGGGGUGAUGGCCAGCCCUGGUACCUGGUCUCU